CCUGGUGGCUCAGAGGAUAAAGCGUUUGCCUGCAAUGCAGAAGACCUGGGUUCGAUCCCUGGGUCAGGA
RNAcentral lists this transfer RNA (69 nucleotides) under Bos taurus (domestic cattle). It matches the Rfam family "tRNA". Rfam says of the family: Transfer RNA (tRNA) molecules are approximately 80 nucleotides in length. Their secondary structure includes four short double-helical elements and three loops (D, anti-codon, and T loops). Further hydrogen bonds mediate the characteristic L-shaped molecular structure. tRNAs have two regions of fundamental functional importance: the anti-codon, which is responsible for specific mRNA codon recognition, and the 3' end, to which the tRNAs corresponding amino acid is attached (by aminoacyl-tRNA synthetases). tRNAs cope with the degeneracy of the genetic code in two manners: having more than one tRNA (with a specific anti-codon) for a particular amino acid; and 'wobble' base-pairing, i.e. permitting non-standard base-pairing at the 3rd anti-codon position. RNAcentral also lists the same sequence under 3 other names. The record is from Rfam by way of RNAcentral. Lineage: Eukaryota; Metazoa; Chordata; Mammalia; Artiodactyla; Bovidae.